This is a long non-coding RNA of Myiozetetes cayanensis, 10221 nucleotides long. RefSeq lists it as uncharacterized. Lineage: Eukaryota; Metazoa; Chordata; Aves; Passeriformes; Tyrannidae. The record is from RefSeq and is a predicted model, not a curated record. The transcript is spliced from 4 exons.
GUGCAGCGAGGCGGGACCGCCAGCGCUGGGAGCUGCUGUGGGGACAGGACAAACUGCGUCCGUGGACAAGGGUCACUGGGGAAUGGGAUGGCGGAGCUGCUUGGGCUUAAGCAGCAGCCAACCCCACCAAGCGGCUGGAGGGAUCGGUCCACUUUGGCCAAGUCCGACUCUCAAGGGAAUUCGGCGCUGAAUUCGACUUAAAAAAAAUAAAAAGCGAGACGGAUUGUUAUGUUUUCCUUUUGAAUCCUGACGUUUCUUCCUUUCUUUCCAGUGCAAGACCCUCACUGAAGAUAUCGUCUGGGCACAAUCCUGUGCCAUGUGCUCUAGGAUGCCCCUGCUUGAGCAGGGAGGUUGGACCAGAUGACCUACUGUGGUCCCUUCCAACUUGACCCAUUCUGUGAUUCUUCAGCGGGAGCGAAGCUUUGUGACCUUUGCAACCCGUGUGUAUAUGCAGCUCUCCGUGUUUUCCUCUGGGCAAAGCCGGAGUGAAUCCUUCAUUAAGAUUAUUUUUAGAUAAACACAGACAGGGCAAGAACAAGGGGAUGUGGAAUAGUUGGGUCCCAAGUACCUUCCGUGUCACCAACAGUGUCUCUCUGAAAUCUAAAAGCAUUACAAACAGCAAUUUUUAACCCAUUUCUAAAGCAAGAAUAAUGAGCAUGAGCUCCUCAGUAGCUGUUGCUUGUAGUAAUGCAGGGAGCUUCCUUCUGGAGGACACCAUCAUUGUAACAGUUAAUAUUUCAUAAAGGUUUUUGGUCUCCACAAUAAUAAUUUUUCCACAUUCUAUUUACUGUAAAUCAUGUACUGUGAUGGCUGCCUACCUGUAAUGCAGCAUGGUUUUGUUCCCCUUUCAUAAACAGGGAGUUGGAAAACAUCCUUGAGUUUUGACAUGCUGUGGUUUUCAAACUUGGGAAUCUUGGAAAAAAAAAAAAAUCCAAAUGAAGAAUAAAUUUUACUGCAGUACUAUUUUUAAAGUUUCUAUUUUAAAUAACAGCUUUUCUUCAGACUUUUCUGAAAUUCUUCAUUCUUAUUCAGAGAAUGUGAAAAGAACUUCUCAUAAAUUCGAGCAUCCCUACUUGUAUGUUGGGUUCGUUUGCUGUGACAUCCAUUGCAAAUCAUAUAACAAAUAGGUUCCCUCUGGCACAGCACUGAACACUCUACCUGUACUUAUAAGUCUUUAGGGGUGCUUUGUGAGGUAAAGAGAGCAGGAUUGUUUUCUAAGUAAUUUAUUGUUUUCAGAUUUUUAUUUUUACAUUUUCAUUUUACUGGCUGUUAGCUUGACGGAACUGGAUAAAUGGGUGUGAGUUUUUAAAACUGCGUGUAAUACUGGCACAGUUGAAUUACAUGGUCAGACUUUGCCUUCAGACAAGGAAUUAGGAUUUCACUCUGUGUUCAGUAAAAGCAAACGUAUGAUUGAACAAAACUGUUGUCUUCAGUAGAACUAUUUAUGUGCUUAACCAAUAAGUAUUUUCCUAAGGAUUUUCCUGUCUUGGUGCUUCAGUCCUGGUGGCAAUUCAUAGCACAGUGCAAAUAACCUUAAUAAGAAAAAUGGAUGAUUAGCUAGGAGAAUGAGUUAAUUAAUUAUUGAGUAUGCCUGUGUAUUUCUUAGGUAAGCUUUAAUGACUGACUUCCUUUUCGUUGUUUGGAUUUUUCCACCUAUUUACUGUACGUAGUGAGCUGUGGGCACAUUUGUACUCCCCGAAUCUACUUGUCUGCCUAUUUGUAUACUUUUUAUCAUUUACAUCGAUCAUACAUAUCUCUUCAACUACCAGCUUUGACACUCAGUCUGCUGCCAGCCAAAUACCGCAAGAUUCUCCUGGGUUUGGAAAUGAAUUUUACAAGUGGUUACAGAAUUGAAAGCUCUGUCAGAUAUGCUGAGUAUGAGGAUUGGGAACUAUACACAUGCCUGGAUCUCAGCUUGUAUGAAAAUUAUGGAAGUACUUCCAGACACCUAUUAACCUACAGACAAUCUAUUAAUCACGAAGCAACACCAGAGAGGAGCCCUGAGGCUGCUGAAUGAUACCAUUACUACAGGAGAGUUUCCAUCAGCUGAAUGGACGAAGUUCUAUAAACCUUGAGGAUUAGAAAUUUUCUACGGAAGAGAUCCAGAUGAAGAACUGCUUGGUGGAGAGGCCUUGAUUUACCUUAUGGGACAAAUCCAGGCUCACCAGUCAUGAGUGACGGGAUGGUGUGCCAAAACUUGAAGAAACGGUACUCCUGGGACCCCGGAGUCUGCCUCAGGAGAUGUUGGCUACAAUGUACCACUUCUGAAGUGUUUCUACACCAAUGAAUGCAGCAUGAGGAACAAACUAGAGGACCUCAAAGCUUCGGCCUAGUCCCAGAGAUUUCACAUUGUUGGCAUAAGUGGAACCUGGUGGGAUGAGACCUGUGACUAGAGUGCCCUGUUGGAUGGUUACAGGCUCUUCAGGAGAGACAGGCAGGGCAGAAGAGGCAGCGGGGUGGUGCUGUAUGUGACAGAACAGUUAAAAUGUAUGGAGCUCACAGCUGGCAAUGGCAUCGUUGAGAGCCUCUGGGUAAGAAUCAAGGGGCAAACAAAUAAUGUGGAUGUCAUUGUGGGAGUCUCCUACAGACCUCCCAGCCAGGAUGCUGACGCUGACAAAUUAUUCUUUGAGGCACUAAGGGACACUUCCAAGUCAACUGCCCUUGUCCUUAUGGGGAACUUCAACUUGACAGAAAUUAACUGGCAGCAUCACGCAGUUGAUCAGCCCAGCAAGAAGAUUCCUUAAAAAUCUGGAUGACAACUUUAUGGAACAGGUCCUAAGGGAGCCAACUCAGAAGGAUGCCCUCCUUGAUCUGCUGCUUGUCAACAGAGCGGACCUCCUGAGAGAAGUGGAGAUUGGUGGCCGGCUAGGCCAGUGCAACCACAAAGGGAUUGAGUUUGAAAUCUCUGUUGACAGGAGGAAAAGUGCCAGCAAAACCUCAACUCUGGACAUGAGGAGAGCAGACUUCAGGCUGUUCAGGGAAUUAGUGAGUAAGGUCCCUUGGGAAAAUGUUUUUGCAGGUGCUGGGAUCCAUCAGUGCUGGUCACUUUUUCAACACAGGGCACAGGGGAAGGCAAUUCCCAAAUGCUGGCAGUGAAGAAGGUGAGGCAGAAGGCCAUCUUGGCUGAACAGGCAGGAAUCUUCUCUUGGGGAUAAGGCAAAAAAGGAAGGUGGAUGCCCAGUGGAAGCAAGGUCAAGUGACAUGGGAAGACUUCAGAGAUGCUGCUUGCCAACGUAGGGAGAAAAUUUGUGUGGCCAAAGCUCAACACGAGUUGAAGCUGCCAGAAAUGUGGGGGACAAUACAAAGAGAUUUUUCAAAUACAUUAAUGGCAAUAGGCAGUAUAGAAAUAUCAUUGUCCCGUUCAAGGAUGAGGUCACCUCACAAACAGGGAAAGGGACAAGGCAGAGGUGUUUAAUGCUUUCUUUGCCUCUGUCUUCAACACGAAUGAUGAACCAAGGGGGUCUCAGUGCCCUGAGCUGGAGGAUCAUGACUGCGAGAACGAUCAACUCCCAGUCAACCCUGAAACUGUGUGGGAUCUGCUGCUCCAUGGAUCCCUACAAAUCCAUGGGGCCUGAUGAGAUUCAUCCCAGAAUCCUCGAAGAUCUGGCUGAUCUCCCAAAACCUCUCUCGAUUUUUGAGUAGUCUUAGGAAUCCAGAGAGGUCCCAGCUGACUGGGAGCUGACAAACCUUGUCCCAAUUUUCAAGAAGGGCAUGGAGGACCCUGGAAACUACAGGCCUGUCAGUCUCACUUCAGUGCCUGGAAAAGUUAUGGAGAUUAUUCUCAGAGGUGUGUUGAAAAACACCUGAGAGACAAUUUUGUCAUUGGUCACAGCCAGCACAGCUUCAUGAGAGGAAGUCCUGCUUAUCAAACCUUAUUUCUUUUUAUGACAAUGUAACCCACCUAGUUGAUCAAGGGAAGCCAGCUGAUGUAAUCUUUCUGGAUUUCAGUAAAGCUUUCGAUACUGUCUCUCACAGGAUCCUUCUGGACAAAAUGUCCAGCACACAGCUGGAUGAACACAUCACUGGUGGGUGAGCAAUUGGCUCACAGGUUGAGCAGAGUGAAUGGGGUAGCAUCAGACUGGUGACCUGUCACUAGUGGGGUUCCACAGGACUCUAUCAUCAGCCCUGUGCUCUUCAACAUGUUCAUAAAUGACUUGGAAACAGGACUGGAAGGGAUACUGAGCAAGUUUGCAAAUGACACAAAACUGGGAGGAGCUGUUGACUCCCUCGAAGGCAGGAAGGCCCUGCAGAGAGACCUCGACAAAUCAGAGGACUGGGCAAUCAACAACCAUAUGAAGUUCAACAAGGGGAAGCGCUGGAUUCUGCACCUGGGAUGGGGCAACUCUGGCUGUUCAUACAGACUGGGGUACAAGAUGCUGGAAAGCAGUGCCAUAUAAAGGGACCUGGGGGUCCUGGUCAAUGGCAAGUUGAACAUGAGUCAGCAGUGCCCUGGCAGCCAAGAGGGCAAACAUGUCCUGGGGGUAUCAGGCAAAGCAUCACCAGCUGGUUGAAGGGGUGAUUGUCCUGCUCUGCUCUGCACUGAGGUGGCCUCACCUUGAAUACUGUGUGCAGUUUUGGGCACUGCAACAUAAGAAAGCUGCUAGAGAGCCUCCAAAGGAGGGCAACGAAGAUGGUGAAGGAGCUUGAGGGGAAGCUGUGUGAGGAGUGGCUGAGGUCACUUGGUCUGUUCAGCUUGGAGGAGAGGAGACUGAGUGGUGACCUCGUUGCAGUUAAAACUUCCUUGUGAGGGGAAGAGGAGGGGCAGAUACUGAUCUCUCCUCUAUGGUGACCGGUGACCGGACCCAAGGGAAUGGCUAGAAGUUGUGCCAAGGGAAGUUUAGGCUGGAUGUUAGAAAGAAGUUCUUCAACCCAGAGGGUGGUUGGGCGCUGGAACAGGCUUCCCUGGGGACAGACACCACCAAGCCUGACAAAGUCCAGAAGCAUUUGGAUGAUACUCCCAGGCACGUGGUGUGACUUUUGGGAGGGGUCCUCUGCAGGGCCAGGAGAUGGACUCAAUGAUCCUUGCAAGUCCCUUCCAUCUCAUCAUAUUCUGUGAUUCUUUGAUUCUGUGAUAUUACAGGAACAAUUUACAUCCUAAAAAUGAGCUUCCUAAAUUACAGACUGACCGUGACAUUACCCAAACAGAAAUUCAAAGAUUAUAGAGGAUAACCAAAUGCUUCCCAUAUUAAGUAGUACUGCAACCUUCUUUGAUUUAUCUCUUAAUCUGCACGACAUUAUCUGAAAAAUAUUACACAAAAAGUUACGUUUAAAUUUCCUUAUCUUGUAAGGCAUUAUUUCCUAUACCAAAAAUCAGUAUGUUUUUUGUAUUUACUUUUAAUAGGUAUAGAUGAUAGACUCAGUAAUUACUGUCCCUUCUGUUUGCACUUUCUCCUCAGCCAAAAGACGCACUCAUAUUUACACAGCACCCACAGUGUAGUAUGUAUUUUAGAACACUGACAGAUGUUGAAAACAAGCAUAGCUCAUCUGAAUUCUGUAGCUAUGAUCUGAAUAUUUUGCACAUUGAAUGAAAACAUUAAUUUUAGACCAGGUGUCACUAACUUCUCCGAUAACAUCCCUAUUCCACAAUGACUUCCUAAUGGAAACUAUUUUGAGCCUUUUGGUCAGUUCCUAAACUUUGUAUUGGUGAUAUUGCAUAACGUUCAUGUUUUGAUGACAGCAAUGUGAUACUUAAGGUGACAAUUCAGUGCCAAGCACUGAAAUAUUUGUAGGUGCAUCUAAAUUACCAUAUUUAUCAACUGUCUUUUUCAAUUACUGCCUGCCCAUAUAACAAAAUUUACUUUUCAUAAAGGCAUGUGGACAGAUGUGAAUUCUUUAUUAUUCAAGUCCUGUAUCAGCUUUUGUAUUAUUUGGCUCAGGGUGACUGUUAGCGCUAUCUGGCUGUGUUGGGUUGACCUUGGCUGGAUGCCAGGUGCCCACCCAGCCUCUCUAUCACUCCUCUUUCCCACCAGACAGGGGAGAGAGUAAGAUGGAAAACAACUCAUGGGUUGGGAUAAGGCACUUUAUUAAAGCAGAAACAAAGCAAACGCUUGCCCACAUCGAUGGUCGGCCACUGCCAAGAAGCAGGGCUCCAGCACGUGUGAUGGUCCCUCAGCAGGCAGCCACUGGAGACAGUGAAUGCCUCCCUUCCUGCUCCUUGCCUCAGCUUUUGUAUCUGAGCUGACUACAUACGGUCUGGAAUAUCCCUUUGGUCAGUUUGGGUCAGCUUUGGCCUGCGUGUGUCCCCUCCCAGGAUCUUCCCCUCAACUGAGGAAGGAAUGUUACAGUGCGGAUGCUCAGCAGUAGCCAAACACCGGUGUGUUAUCGACACCCUUCUGGCUACCAGUGCAAAGCACAGCACUGUGAGAGCUAUUAAUGGGGAAAUGAACUCCAGCUCAGCCAGACCCAAUACACUAGCAUAUAGUAAUCCAGUUCAUUCCCUAAAUAAAUUUGUCACAUUUGGACUAUUCCAGGGUUUCCGUAUCACUGCAAGAUGUAAUUUCUUUUUAGUAAGAUAGGUCUCUCUGCCUGCCUCAGGAGCACAUGAUGCCAGUAAAGCAUGCAAUCUUGGAACUAGGGAAGUGGAACCAUUUUCACAGUGUUUACCCCCUAAGGAAAAAGAAUUUAAAAAAUCUGAAAAGAGCAAUUUGCUUGCAGACUAAGAAUAUGCUUAUUCUAUCAGAUGCAGCUUUCUUGUUUCACUACAUUUAUGGUGAUUUUCUUUCUCAAAGUAAUGAGUGUGCAGAAACAAUGAAAAGGCAUAACUUGCACAUACAAAGUCUGACAUCAAAGAAGGCGACAUAUAUAUAAUGGGAAGACUUCGCGAGCAAAGAUCCGGGGAAGGUCUUUACACCUUCCAGCCUGCGCAUUGGAUUUUUUUUUUUUUUUAGGUGAGACACAGUGCUUUUUGAAGAAAACUAGUGGGUUUGCCAAUUAAUUACUUUGCCAGCCCUACUGACUUCCUUCUAAAGAUAUGAAAUUACUUACAAAAAUACACUUCAUAACACAAGGCUAACUUCCUGGGAAACCUAGAAGGGGUUGUGGCUCUGCCAUCAGCAAAUAGUGGUAGUUGCAGUAUCUGACAGGGGAACGGCUUAAGAGCUUUUCUCAUCUUGUCAGCUCAGCUGUAAGCUGCAAACUUCACCUCAGUGUGCCAGGAGGGCAGGUGGGACUUGAAUGUAGGAGGGUGAUGGAAGAGAUCAGGGACCUGAUCUGCACUGAAGCAUUCAGAACAUUGUCUGAAGCCAACCAGAACAAGAGGUCCUGGGAAGUAUCUCUGCACCUCUCCUUCCCUUCCAGUGUGGCUUUAAAUGACAUAUUGCUGUCACAAAAUCCUUGGAGUAACUGGGAAUUACAAGCUGUCAACUGCCUCCUACUCUCUUUUGUUUUGGUGACUGUCUUAUUAACAAGGUUAAGUGAAUCUUGUAAUUGUAGGGUUUAUGUUGAUACUUAUUUACAGCAAGCUUUUUGAUGAAAAAAGAAAGCUGACUAUAGAUUUUAUCUGACAUGAUUCAUAGAGAUGUUAGAAUCCUCUUCUCUAUAUGAAUGUCUAGUUGAGUGACAAUAAUUUUUGAUAAACACUGUAAAUAAUAAUAUACUUUCUGUAGUAUUAAGGAUGUCCACACUGGAUGAGUUAUCAUAUCUUAUGUGUAAAUAUAUAAAGUUUGAUGACACUCACAACUUGACUGAAUUCCCAGAAACCUCUGAGACACCCAUAGAAAUGUUGCUGUUUUUUUCUCUCUCUUUAGGAAGCUGAUUACAGAAACUGUGUGCGUGUAAUCUUGGAAGCCAAAUUAACAAUAACACAGAAUUGCGUAAGUUUUUCUAACUAAAUGCUACUUUGAUAAAUACCCUUUUAAAUUUUAGUUGGAUGAUACAACUAUUAGUAGGUAAGUACAUUCCUUCAAAUAUAAGAUUCCAUGUAUUUGCAUUUUCAAAGGGAGAAUGAAGUGUGUUAGGAGACCUGAGUUAUCAGAUAUUAAAGCUCCAACCUACCAACUCCUAAGUACUUUGGUAAAUCAAACUAGAUCCUUUGCUCCUCUCCGAUUUUUCCCACCAAGUUCUAGGCUAACACAAUAUGGAAAAACAAAUGGGAGUAUGAAUGUAGGGGGCCUCUUUGUAUGUGUUAUUCAAAGAGUAGGUCACUUCUCCGGAAUUACUUCCUCUACUCCACAGAUAACCCUCAUUUAAUUCGUAAAUAUUUAGAUCAAAGCUUUGUACUGGGUUACUGUAUUCUAUACCUAAAUACAAGGUUUUAAGCCACAAGCUUAUAUCACCCCCCCACUGGUUUAUGUAACCUUAAAUAUAUUCCCUGAUUUCACCAAACAUCUCACAAUUAGUAUCUUUCCAUUUGAUUACUGUUACAGAAUUACUUUUAAGAACAAAAUAUUUAUGACAAUACACUGCUUUUGCAACCUUAUAAAUACUUUUAGACCCAAUGACAGGACAGAAACCCCUUUUUAUAUACUAUAGUCUGGAAAUAUUAUUAAUCUUAUUCUGUGUUGGUCAUUAAAUAGCCAUUUUGUAACUGAGGAUGUAAGUCUUAGAAAAAGAUUAUGCAGACACACUGUGAGAAAAAAAGCAUGUAACAAAAUGCAACACUAAAUAAGGCCUUGAAUAGCUUUAUUGAAAUCUGUAUAAAUAAACAUGCGCAUUUCAAAUGUAAACCCAAGUGAACUCAAGUGCAGACAAAAUUUUAACCUCUGUCAUGCAGGAGGUUAGUUUACAUUAAAAAAAAAAAACAAACCUCAAAGCAGCUUUAAAAUACCAGGAUGAAACACCAGUUUUAAUAUCAAGGUAUAAAGCAAAGCCAUGUCCAACAUAUCUCAUUUAUAUCCUGGUCAAAUGCAAUUUUUUAAACUUUUUAAUGCUAACAUAAAUAAAUAAUUUACCAAAAUGUGCACUCACAGAGUGAACUUUUAUUUACAAUACACAAUUUAUAACCUAUUGUAUUUGAUUAGUUCAAGUGAAGAACAUCAGACUUUUUGCUUUUUUCUUUUUUUAAAUUGUUUAAACAGUGGGACACCAAGCAAUUCUCCAGGUAGUAGAUAUGUGACGUGUGCCCCCACACUUAAAAGCCCCUCUCAAAGGCAGUAUUGUAUACAAAUCAACAAUACAUUCUUCCAACUAGAUCAAUGGGAAAGCAGCAAAUCAAAAAAUGUUUCAAACUGUCACACUUAUUUUGGCAUCCUGGACCCCUGAACACAGUUAACUGAAAUCCAAUUCGGAGUUUGUAUGCCUUAUAUACUGUACAGGUUCUGACUUGAACAUGCAAAUGCCAAUUCUCUUAUAAUUAUGAGUUACCUUUUCAGAUGCACUGUAAGGCUAUGGUGAAUUCCAUCAGGAACACACAAAGAAAAUCAACAGAUCUACCUUUAAAGUGAUUUUGUUAAUUAACAAUUUAAAGGCAGGUUAUACUGAAAAAAUUCUCAACUAAGCCUGAUACACAGUCAUUACUAUGGAUACAGAAUACUAUUAACUUUGACCUUAAUACAGAGUAGUUUGCAAGCUGUCAAACUACAAAAACUGGGGAAAGAGAACUUACAGCACAAUUUUAAAUUUUGGACUGAUACCAGAUUAAAAUUAUGCAUAUCUUAUAAGCAAGAUAACAGGAAUUAUGUCUGCAGAGUAGAUUCCAACAAGCAACAAUGGAUACUUACAUUUAAUUGAAAACCCUUUUGUUAAUGCAGCAUGAAAUCCAGAACCUGUUCCACAGCAGCAGUAAGAUGAACAUAAUAUUCUGGAUGUUCCACUAUAACACAAAAGGUUAAAACACCUUUUUCAAGCUAUUUCUUCUACUGUGACCAAAUUUAAAAAAAAUUAGGGAGAAACAAAAAUUUGCUGUUUCAAAAAAACUACUACUGUAGUUAUUCAUGACAUUUUUACUUGUAGUCUGUGUGGCAGCUAAGGAACAUUUAUAUAGUCAUCCAGAAACUAGACUUGGCAGUAGUAUUCUUGCAAUACUUAUAAAAUAAAUGUCAGAAGUCCACAGAUUUAAUAUUUUAGUUAUUAACUCACAUCCAAAACAAAAAAAAAACCCAAAACAUAAUCCAUCAGAACAGCAGCAGAAACUUAAAAGGGGUUUAUUUGUGAUUUCCUAUAUAUACCUUGUGAAUACGAGACUGUAAAUGCAUUAGAGACAAUUUCUGUUUAAGUUUUUAUUGUUUCACUUCAAGUACUGCACAUGUUAAAAUGUAAUAAAGAUUUACAUUCUGUUAUCUGAAA